GAUGAACGCUAGCUACAGGCUUAACACAUGCAAGUCGAGGGGUAGCAGGGUAGCAAUACCGCUGACGACCGGCGCACGGGUGAGUAACACGUAUCCAACCUUCCCAUAACUCGGGGAUAGCCUUUCGAAAGAAAGAUUAAUACAGGAUGGCACUUUUUCAAGGCAUCUCGAGAUAGUUAAAGAUUUACUGGUUAUGGAUGGGGAUGCGUUCCAUUAGAUAGGUGGUUAGGUAAGGGCUCACCAAGUCUUCGAUGGAUAGGGGUUCGGGGAGGAAGGUCCCCCACAUUGGUACUGAGACACGGACCAAACUCCUACGGGAGGCAGCAGUGAGGAAUAUUGGUCAAUGGGCGAGAGCCUGAACCAGCCAAGUAGCGUGAAGGAUGAAGGUCCUAUGGAUUGUAAACUUCUUUUAUAGUAGAAUAAAGUGAUCCACGUGUGGAUUUUUGUAUGUAUACUAUGAAUAAGGAUCGGCUAACUCCGUGCCAGCCGCCGCCGUAA
Molecule: ribosomal RNA, 498 nt
Filed under: uncultured bacterium
Lineage: Bacteria
Description: partial 16S ribosomal RNA
Rfam family: Bacterial small subunit ribosomal RNA
Source: RNAcentral